GAAGAAUGGAAAUCAUGUUUCAUGAAAGCAAUGAAAAAAGAAGUGGUGACUGACUGAAGCUUCAACAUUUCGAAGGAAGUAACUGAGGGGAAUGCUGCCGUAUGCCUGCAACGAAGCAUGCCAAAAAAUAAAAAGAGAAAAUAUGACUGGCUGCCUAAAUUUCCAAUACAAAGGGCUUGCCAUCGAGCAACAUUUUUCCCCAUUAACAUCGUGGCAUGUGCUCUACCUCUACGCACUUUUAAUCAUCACCAGUAUGAUUGCUCCUCUACCAC
RNAcentral lists this unclassified non-coding RNA (272 nucleotides) under Hevea brasiliensis (rubber tree). Lineage: Eukaryota; Viridiplantae; Streptophyta; Magnoliopsida; Malpighiales; Euphorbiaceae. The record is from RNAcentral.